AAAUUCUAUAUAUUCUUUAAAUAAAAACAUUUUCUUUUUAUUUAUAAUUAAACCAUGUCUUAUAAAUUCUGAAAAGAGGAUUUGUAAAUGACCUCUAUGUUCUCUUCUAUUUUUACUAAAUACUAAAAUAUCAUCUAUAUAAACUAUAAUAAAUUUAUUAUGUUUAUUAAAAAUACUUUCCAUUUUUCUCUGGAAUAUACUAGGGGCAUUUUUUAAACCAAAUGGCAUUACAAGCCAUUCAAAAUGUCCUUCUGGACUAGUAAAGGCUGUCCAUUCAAUUGAGUCUGGAUGCAUCUUAACUUGCCAAAAACCUGAUUUUAAAUCAAAUUUACUAAAAAUAUUACAAUCUUGAAUCUUAUUUAUUAAAACUGUUUUAUCUGAGAUAUUAUAAGCAUCAUCUAUUGUAUUAUCAUUUAAUCUUUUGUAAUUUAUUACCAUUCUACUUUUACCUCUAAUAAUUUCUGAAUGUUUCCUAACUAUAAAAGCUGCUGAUCUAUGAGGACUUUCUGAUUUUCUAAUAACUCCUAAUUUUAAUAAAUCAUUUAUAUGCAUUCUAAAAUCUUCCUGAUCUUGAUUUGUAGCUUCAAUAUUUUUAGUUUUAAUAAUAUAUUCUGGGUUCUUAAUUUUUAUUUCACAAAAUACUUUAUCCUUUUCCCAAUAUUUAAGAAUAUUUUCUCCUAAUAUUUC
This 687-nucleotide long non-coding RNA is filed under the name Olea europaea subsp. europaea. The record is from RNAcentral. Lineage: Eukaryota; Viridiplantae; Streptophyta; Magnoliopsida; Lamiales; Oleaceae.